Molecule: ribosomal RNA, 436 nt
Filed under: uncultured bacterium
Lineage: Bacteria
Description: partial 16S ribosomal RNA
Rfam family: Bacterial small subunit ribosomal RNA
Source: RNAcentral
ACGGGAGGCAGCAGUGGGGAAUAUUGGGCAAUGGGGGGAACCCUGACCCAGCAACGCCGCGUGAGGGAAGAAGGUUUUCGGAUCGUAAACCUCUGUCCUUGGUGAAGAGAAAGAGACGGUAGCCAAGGAGGAAGCCUCGGCUAACUGCGUGCCAGCAGCCGCGGUAAUACGUAGGGGGCGAGCGUUGUCCGGAAUGACUGGGCGUAAAGGGCGUGUAGGCGGCCGAUUAAGUCUGGAGUGAAAGUCCUGCUUUCAAGGUGGGAAUUGCUUUGGAGACUGGUUGGCUUGAGUGCGGAAGAGGUAAGUGGAAUUCCCAGUGUAGCGGUGAAAUGCGUAGAGAUUGGGAGGAACACCAGUGGCGAAGGCGACUUACUGGGCCGUAACUGACGCUGAGGCGCGAAAGCGUGGGGAGCGAACAGGAUUAGAUACCCUGGUA